CAGUCGCCGCGGGAAUACGUAGGUGGCAAGCGUUGUCCGGAAUUAUUGGGCGUAAAGGGCUCGCAGGCGGUUUCUUAAGUCUGAUGUGAAAGCCCCCGGCUCAACCGGGGAGGGUCAUUGGAAACUGGGAAACUUGAGUGCAGAAGAGGAGAGUGGAAUUCCACGUGUAGCGGUGAAAUGCGUAGAGAUGUGGAGGAACACCAGUGGCGAAGGCGACUCUCUGGUCUGUAACUGACGCUGAGGAGCGAAAGCGUGGGGAGCGAACAGGAUUAGAUACCCGGGUAGUCCCUGUCUCUUAUAC
This 301-nucleotide ribosomal RNA is filed under the name uncultured bacterium. RNAcentral describes it as "partial 16S ribosomal RNA". It matches the Rfam family "Bacterial small subunit ribosomal RNA", at positions 509 to 807 of the family's 1533-position model. The record is from RNAcentral.